Molecule: ribosomal RNA, 301 nt
Filed under: uncultured bacterium
Lineage: Bacteria
Description: partial 16S ribosomal RNA
Rfam family: Bacterial small subunit ribosomal RNA
Source: RNAcentral
CAGUAGCCGCGGGAAAACGAAGGGGGCUAGCGUUGUUCGGAAUUACUGGGCGUAAAGCGCACGUAGGCGGAUCGAUCAGUCAGGGGUGAAAUCCCAGGGCUCAACCUGGGGACUGCGCUUAAGACUGGAGUGCUUGAGGAUGGAAGAGGGUUGUGGAAUUCCCAGUGUAGAGGUGAAAUUCGUAGAUAUUGGGAAGAACACCGGUGGCGAAGGCGGCAACCUGGUCCAUUACUGACGCUGAGGCGCGAUAGCGUGGGGAGCAAACAGGAUUAGAUACCCCCGUAGUCCCUGUCUCUUAUAA